GUGCUCGCUUCAGCGGCACAAAUACUAAAAUCGGGACAAUUCAGAGAAGAUUGGCACAGCCCCUGCAUGAGGAUGACAUCAUCUGUGAAGCAUCCCGUGUUUUC
Small nuclear RNA from Sorex fumeus (smoky shrew), 104 nucleotides. The record is from RefSeq and is a predicted model, not a curated record. Lineage: Eukaryota; Metazoa; Chordata; Mammalia; Eulipotyphla; Soricidae.